This 295-nucleotide long non-coding RNA is filed under the name Rattus norvegicus (Norway rat). RNAcentral's name for it is "long non-coding RNA NONRATT018778". The record is from RNAcentral. Lineage: Eukaryota; Metazoa; Chordata; Mammalia; Rodentia; Muridae.
AAGCAGCUUCUGAAGACAAAACCUUCAACAAGGAGCAAGGUUUCAGCCACAAAGAUGUGGGUUCUCCAGGCCUUGGCCAUCAUAUUGAGCAUCCAAGCAGGAGUACUUGACCUGGUGGAAGUGCCCCCCGAGGUGCGCAGUCUUCCUGUUGCUCUUCCUGCUCCGGUCAAUCUCCCUGCAGUUCUCCCAGGUUCUCCAGGCCUCAAUGAUCCAGCCAAAAAUCGCAUGCUACCUCCCAAAAGGCCUGGAGCUCCUUCCAGAGGUGGAAAGUGUGCACCUGCAGCCAGAUACUUCC